RNAcentral lists this unclassified non-coding RNA (253 nucleotides) under uncultured Dehalococcoidia bacterium. RNAcentral's name for it is "contains 16S-23S intergenic spacer region". It matches the Rfam family "Bacterial small subunit ribosomal RNA", at positions 524 to 776 of the family's 1533-position model. Lineage: Bacteria; Bacillati; Chloroflexota; Dehalococcoidia. The record is from RNAcentral.
UACGUAGGAGGCGAGCGUUGUCCGGAUUUACUGGGCGUAAAGGGCGAGUAGGCGGCCUGAAAAGUCUCAUGUGAAAUCUCCCGGCUUAACUGGGAGCGGUCAUGGGAAACUGACGGGCUUGAGGGCAGCAGAGGAAAGUGGAAUUCCGGGAGUAGUGGUGAAAUGCUUAGAUACCCGGAGGAACACCAGUGGCGAAGGCGGCUUUCUGGGCUGUCCCUGACGCUGAGGCGCGAAAGCAUGGGUAGCAAACCGG